AUCCUCUCCUCCUCCUCCUCUUCCUCUGACAGGAGCAAGAAGACAAUGAAAAAAACACAUGCAGAGAUCUUUUGGGAGGAAAAUAACGACACCCUGAUCAGGUCAUUUACUGGUAGAAGAUGAUCCUGAAACAUUCAGGAAGCUGAUGAGUGCGCCAGAGGCACUAAAAAGACGCACGGCUGACAAAAUUGCAUUGCAUUACCUCAAUAUUAUUGCUGAGAGUCAGCAAAGGUGCAUGUGUGAUCUGAGGCUUUCUCCAAGAUUACUCUUGUUCCUUCCAUUUAGCCAAAUAAAGGAGAAUAAAAGGCAGAGAUGGAAAGUUUUAAAACCUUGUAUUUCCAACUAUGAGAAUUUACUUUCCAUAUUGUGUAUGUGCACAAAAUCACACACCCAAAUAGUGUCCAUAUGAAAUAAACCAUAGCAAACAUAGAUAAAGGCAGACACAUGAAUCUCAGGGACAUUGUAGCUCUAAUUCUACCACACCACUUUAUAAUUCUUGAAUCUUGACAAGCAUCUUACCCUCCUGAUAGCACUCUGACCACGGCCAUGGUCUCAUCUGUCCUCCCCUGGGACACACUAACCAACAGCUCUGAAAAUGGAACUGGAACGUGGCCUGCAACACCCCCACAUCAACAUGACCUGAGGCAGCCGGGGGUUUGUGACAGGUCAGCACUCCAAUCCAGCCUUUUCCUUUCAGCUCCUUGUGCUCGGAGGGAUGACUCACUGGAGUAUUUACUUGACAUGAAAGAUCUUGGACAAAGUGUUUACUGCUGGGCUCAGACAGACAUGAGCAGAGGUGGCACUUUGCCAGUUUGCGGCAGUGUCUCCUUGCAGAACUGCAUCGUUUUGACUCUGCAGCAGAGAUAUGCUCCUGCUGAGACCCAUGCCAUGUUUUGCCACAGGCUAAGUUUGUAAGUUUGCAACUACCCAGCCAGGGAUCCUGGGAGUAAAAGUAACCCAGAAAGCCCUGAGGUAGUCGACAUUCUGCAACUCUCUCAGUUCAGUGCUUUCAUAGCACCUCGAGGGGAAACAACUCUGCAAUCUAUUCCACAUGAAGUUAUGUAGCAGUUUCUUAUUUCUCAGGUCUUCUCGUUAAAACAUUCUCACUAUAUUUGUCGACUGAAAUCAAAUGGGUGAGUCUCUCUGGUGAAGUGCGUGAGUGUAGUGUUUUGUUCAUGCCUGUUGAGAGUUUUGUUUUAGUCAGGUUAGUUUAUUUUGUAUCUCAGACACUUGAUAUUAAUUAUGGAGUUCCUCAAGGAAGCAAUUUGGGCACCAUUUUGUUUUCUUCAUACACUCUGCCUUUGAGUAAUAAGUCAUCAUAAUGUCAAAUACCAAUCUGUUUUGCCAGAUGACAACAGUUCUUUCUUAGUGCCUGUGUACUGACAUCAAUAUUUGGAUGAGUAAAAAAUUUUUUUAAAUAAAUGAGCAAUAAAUAGAAAAUUCUAUACUCAAUGUUUUACUGUCUUGCCAGACAGAUUAAGACACAAGAUAGAGAUCUGAGACUGAUUUUAGCAAUGCCAUAGAUAUAUGGACAUAUCUGUUUUCACUGGAGUAAUAUUGUCAAAAACUUACUUACAAAGUUACUGAAAUGCAACCCAGCAACCCAGUCUCAAAUCAAAAUGUGUAAUAGCAACAUUGGUCCACAGUGUAAAAUGUACUAGUUUCACAGUUCUAAAAUUGUGAGAUGCCUAUGUUUUUUUGGCCUAUUCUUAACUAUUGGCCUGCGUCCAUGUCACGUGACUGUCAAGUUUCUGUCUGCUCAACCAAACAAAAUAGCCGCCAUACCUUUUAUCCUCUCCUUGAAAAUGCAAUAUUUUAAGGUAGUUUCAGCAUUAGAAUGAGUGAAUGUAUUUUGUCUAUUUUUAUUCUCUGUGUUGUGUUUUUUGGGAGCAAACGCCAAGACACAUUAUUUGAAUGCUUGCAUUGGCUAAAACACAUUCUGCACAUUCUGACUGGAUGGGCUAUAUCACGUUGACAUAAAAUCCCAAAAUCAAGAAUCAUAAAGAUACAAAGAAAUCUCCAGGGUUGUGUAAAUUGUAGCCUAUGCAUGAAUGUGUUGGUCUUUUCAGCCCUAGACCUAACCCUAACCCUAACCCUAACCCUAACCCAAGCACUUCAGGGCUUCUUUCAAGCCUGUAUAAUGCCCUAUAUUGUCAGCAGUAUUGUAAUCUCUGAACAUGACACAUUUUGGUCAUUAUUUCCACUAAAAAAGAAAACACAAAU
Thunnus maccoyii (southern bluefin tuna) is the source of this 2223-nucleotide long non-coding RNA. RefSeq lists it as uncharacterized. The transcript is spliced from 4 exons. Lineage: Eukaryota; Metazoa; Chordata; Actinopteri; Scombriformes; Scombridae. The record is from RefSeq and is a predicted model, not a curated record.